RNAcentral lists this ribosomal RNA (135 nucleotides) under Mesocricetus auratus (golden hamster). The record is from RNAcentral. Lineage: Eukaryota; Metazoa; Chordata; Mammalia; Rodentia; Cricetidae.
GUCUACAUCCAUACCACCCUGAACACACCCGAUCUCGGAAGCUAAGCAGGGUCGGGCCUGGUUAGCAAUUGGAUGGGAGAAAGGAAAAGAACCCCACUUAUUGACAUCCUCAGAACAAAUGGCUAACUGUGGUGU